GAACCACCUGAUCCCAUACCGAACUCAGAAGUGAAACGACUUAGCGCCGAUGGUAGUGUGGGGUCUCCCCAUGUGAGAGUAGGUCAUCGUCAAGC
RNAcentral lists this ribosomal RNA (95 nucleotides) under Cellvibrio sp. The record is from RNAcentral. Lineage: Bacteria; Pseudomonadati; Pseudomonadota; Gammaproteobacteria; Cellvibrionales; Cellvibrionaceae.